Molecule: ribosomal RNA, 490 nt
Filed under: uncultured bacterium
Lineage: Bacteria
Description: bacterial SSU rRNA
Rfam family: Bacterial small subunit ribosomal RNA
Source: RNAcentral
CUACGUGCCAGCAGCCGCGGUAAUACGUAGGGCGCGAGCGUUGUCCGGAAUUAUUGGGCGUAAAGGGCUUGUAGGCGGUUGGUCGCGUCUGCCGUGAAAUCCUCUGGCUUAACUGGGGGCGUGCGGUGGGUACGGGCUGACUUGAGUGCGGUAGGGGAGACUGGAACUCCUGGUGUAGCGGUGGAAUGCGCAGAUAUCAGGAAGAACACCGGUGACGAAGGCGGGUCUCUGGGCCGUUACUGACGCUGAGGAGCGAAAGCGUGGGGAGCGAACAGGAUUAGAUACCCUGGUAGUCCACGCUGUAAACGUUGGGCACUAGGUGUGGGGGCCACCCGUGGUUUCUGCGCCGUAGCUAACGCUUUAAGUGCCCCGCCUGGGGAGUACGGCCGCAAGGCUAAAACUCAAAGGAAUUGACGGGGGCCCGCACAAGCGGCGGAGCAUGCGGAUUAAUUCGAUGCAACGCGAAGAACCUUACCAAGGCUUGACAUGC